Molecule: long non-coding RNA, 2334 nt
Organism: Nycticebus coucang (slow loris)
Lineage: Eukaryota; Metazoa; Chordata; Mammalia; Primates; Lorisidae
Exons: 3
Source: RefSeq, a predicted model, not a curated record
GGGUUCCCGAGCUUGUUGUGUGGGAGAAUCUGGACCGGGUGAAUCCCAGGGUGCUGAGCAGCUCCGCAGCCUGCGACCUGCUCUGAGAAUCUCCCUCCACCACCGACGUGGUUGGGGACCGUCCUCUGUUCUUAUCUUGAUUAAUAUGAUGGUACAAGCCUCACUAAGUUACAACAUUUGUGUUUGUCGGGUGAGGUCCCGGGUGCAGCUGUGGCCCUCGCCCAGCAAGUAUUUCCCAAUACUGACAUCAUUUUAAUUAUGAGCGUCUCAGCAUUCCGAGUGCUGAAGUCUGCAGGUGUCAGGGACGCCCAGCGACAGAGCAACAGCGGUAGUAACACUGUUCCGGCGUUGGAAUGUGAGCAAAAACAGCAGAAUGUGGUGCUCUUGAGAAAGUCGGUCCUGAAAAAAUGAAUCCCUUAAAAUGUAAGCACCCAGCAGAGGCAGAUGCUCGGGCGUGGUGAAAAGAGGCUGAGCUCUGCAACGCAUCUGUGCCGCCGGACUCCCAUUGUCCGUUAAGAACAGAAACCUCUUAGCAGGACCCUUUUGAAAGCCCCAGGGGUGCUGGACCAGCAGAGGGGACACCCGGCUGAGGGCCUACAGGGCCACCACAAGGCUGAAGAGCAGGAGCUGGCAGAAGAAAUUCAUCUGACGAGAGGUCGGAGGAGCAGGACAGUUCCAGCCACAUGCGUCUCCCCCACGGGGCAGCGCUGGGCAGUUCGGCUGACACGGUGAAAAUCACAGGAAAGGAACCUGCUCUGAGACAGGGUUUUUUAAAAUGUCUUUUUGGCCCCUGGACCCUUAUGAAUAGGAAAAUGCCAGAGUCUGCAAAUCCCCUGCGAUCACUGGUCAGCUCAGAGCUGAGAUGUUUCCCCAACGAACACCUGGAGGGUGUAAAUCACCCUGCCAGUAAACACUUCAGGCCCCAAAGGGGCUCUGGUUGCAGGCGGGGUGGGGCGGCAUCCUCCCUCCCUGCACCAGGACCCGUAAACCAGGCACUGGUCCAGCACUGAUAAAUGCCCCUUUCACUGAAAAGACCCCCUCCUCCCAGUCUGGGAGCAGAGCCCCUUUAUGGAGGUUGCUCAGAUGGGGACAGUGUCCCCGCCACCCUCACCACUGAGUGGAUUUCUCUGGGCUGGUACCGGGAGUGAAGCUGUCAGGCGUUCAUGUGUUAUGAACGACUCUAUGAUACCUCGGGGUGGAGGGGAGGGGAUCUGGCACUUCAAGGUGGCUGACUUUGAAGGCAGCAUGCAAAGAUAAAAUUCAAGAUUUGUUUCUUAAAUAUUCAGAACAAUGGUAAUAAUGGAAACCGAAGGAUCCCUACAAAAUGUUUCCAAAUUUAGAAGAAAUAGAAGUGGCGUUCCCUCUUUUAAAACAUACUGAACUAAAAUAUGAAAAUAUUUUAUUGUCUUAGUAUUUCAUUGUCUUAAAAUCCUUGGGUCCUAGUGGACAAUCUUUUAGUGGUCACCAUUGUUAGAAAAAUCCCCAAAUGGGGGAAAAGCCGAGGGAAGACAGGAGAACGUAUCUCAAAAAGGGUCACCAAGGGCAGCGCCUGUGGCUCAAGAAGUAGGGUGCUGGUCCCAUAUGCCGGAGGUGGCCGGUUCAAACCCAGCCUCGGCCAAAAACCACACACAAAAAAAGGAUCACUAUAGGCUCGGCGCCCGUAUUACGGCUCCAGCCACAUGCACCAAGGCUGGUAGGUUCGAACCAGCCCAGGCCAGCUAAACAAUGACAACUACAGCAACAACAGCAAAAAAAUAGCCGAGCGUUGUGGCAGGCACCUGUAGUCCCAGCUACUUGGGAGGCUGAGACAGGAGACUUGCUUAAGCCCGAGAGUUGGAGGUUGCUGUGAACUGUGACACCACAGCACUCUACUGAGGGCAACAGAGAGACUCUGUCUCAAAAAAGAAAAAUAAAAAAUAAUAAAAUAAAAAAGGUUCAUUUUAGGAAUUUUGGGAAUUUCUUUCUCUUCUAAUGUUCUCCUUUAAAAACAAAAACCUCUCCGUAUAGUUCUCUGCUGAGGAGGAGUCUUCUAAAUGCUGUUUUCUGAAUUCAGCCAGACAGACACAAGGGCAAGUAUGAAGCAGCCCUGGGUAGAGGGUUUCAUGGCUCUGUCCCUUUCCACCCGCAGCACGGGUAAGAGAAAUGAAGGGAACUUGAGAGCAGUCACUCUGCCUCCAGAAUCAACCUGGCACCGAAGAAAAAUAAGCCGCAGAAAUUAUUCCUCGGCCUUAAGCGAAGCCAGAAUCAAGUGAUGGCUGAUCAGAGCAAAUAUUUAAAUUGGAUAAGUCAAAUGGAGCAUUAUUAAAUAAAGCUUGUGUUUAAUACGUCUCAAAC